CGAACGGGUGAGUAACGCGUGAGCAACCUACCUAUGACAGUGGGAUAGCCUCGGGAAACCGGGAUUAAUACCGCAUAAAAUCGUAGAAACACAUGUUUUAACGGUCAAAGAUUUAUCGGUCAUAGAUGGGCUCGCGUCUGAUUAGCUAGUUGGUGAGAUAACAGCCCACCAAGGCGACGAUCAGUAGCCGGUCUGAGAGGAUGAACGGCCACAUUGGAACUGAGACACGGUCCAA
This 235-nucleotide ribosomal RNA is filed under the name uncultured Eubacteriales bacterium. RNAcentral's name for it is "uncultured Clostridiales bacterium partial 16S ribosomal RNA". It matches the Rfam family "Bacterial small subunit ribosomal RNA", at positions 99 to 334 of the family's 1533-position model. Lineage: Bacteria; Bacillati; Bacillota; Clostridia; Eubacteriales. The record is from RNAcentral.